Pseudophryne corroboree (corroboree frog) is the source of this 321-nucleotide long non-coding RNA. RefSeq lists it as uncharacterized. The transcript has 3 exons. Lineage: Eukaryota; Metazoa; Chordata; Amphibia; Anura; Myobatrachidae. The record is from RefSeq and is a predicted model, not a curated record.
GGACUACUGGAGGGAAAGAACAUGAGAGAGGAGCUUGUUAUAAGGAACAACUUAAUCGGGGCCUAGAGAAAUUAGUCCUUACGUGAAUACACAGUAAGAACAGUUGGAUUCAGAGAGCAGGAAACCCCUGAUGAAGUCAGCAUUGACGAAACACAUUGGGUGAUAUGCAAGUUGCUAGAUCCGGUGUUAACAAGAAUAUUUGGAUCAACAAGUUACACUGUACACUAAAGAAAGCAUUCUGCUAAUGUAUUGUAUGGACUGAAAAACCAUUUUUAAUGUUUUAAUGUUUUAAAACUACUGUAUGUAUUAAAUAAAUUGUUU